This is a long non-coding RNA of Thalassophryne amazonica, 162 nucleotides long. RefSeq lists it as uncharacterized. Lineage: Eukaryota; Metazoa; Chordata; Actinopteri; Batrachoidiformes; Batrachoididae. The record is from RefSeq and is a predicted model, not a curated record. The transcript is spliced from 3 exons.
UAUGUAUUGUCUACGACAGGGGUGUCCAAACUACGGCCCGUGGGCCGUUCAGUUUUUAUUGGCCCGCAGCAAAUUCUGAAAAUAUAAUUAAAUAUGGCCCGUACAAGAAGCUUGAGGUCAACUUUGUUGCACUUCUCAGUUUCAACACUAGAUGGAGCCAGC